RNAcentral lists this ribosomal RNA (253 nucleotides) under uncultured bacterium. Its description in RNAcentral is "partial 16S ribosomal RNA". It matches the Rfam family "Bacterial small subunit ribosomal RNA", at positions 524 to 776 of the family's 1533-position model. The record is from RNAcentral.
UACGGAGGGUGCAAGCGUUAAUCGGAAUUACUGGGCGUAAAGCGCACGCAGGUGGCUGAGUCAGUCGAUUGUGAAAGCCCUGGGCUUAACCUAGGAAUUGCAGUCGAUACUACUCAGCUAGAGUAUGGGAGAGGGCAGUGGAAUUCCCGGUGUAGCGGUGAAAUGCGUAGAUAUCGGAAGGAACAUCAGUGGCGAAAGCGACUUCCUGGACCAAUACUGACGCUCAUGUGCGAAAGCGUGGGGAGCAAACAGG